Molecule: ribosomal RNA, 518 nt
Filed under: uncultured low G+C Gram-positive bacterium
Lineage: Bacteria; Bacillati; Bacillota
Description: bacterial SSU rRNA
Rfam family: Bacterial small subunit ribosomal RNA
Source: RNAcentral
CGGGGUAAUUUUGGCGCAAUGGGCGAAAGCCUGACCCAGCAACGCCGCGUGAGGGAUGAAGGCCUUCGGGUUGUAAACCCCUGUCAGGAGGGACGAAUGCCCUGGGGACCAACAAUCCUGGGCCUUGACGGUACCGCCAAAGGAACCCCCGGCUAACUACGGGCCAGCAGCCGCGGUAAUACGCAGGGGGCAAGCGUUGCUCGGAUUUACUGGGCGUAAAGAGCGCGUAGGCGGCCGGGUAAGUCCGGUGUGAAAUCCCUAGCUUCAACCGAGGAUUUGCAUUGAAAACUGCUUGGCUUGAGUCCAGGAGAGGAAGGUGGAAUUCCCGGUGUAGAGCCGAAAUGCGUAAAUAUCGGGAGGAACACCAGUGGCAAAGGCGGGCCUCUGAACUGGUACUGACGCUGAGGCGCGAAAGCUGGGGGAGCAAACGGUAUUAGAUACCCUGGUAGUCCAAGCCGUAAACGAUGGGCACUAGGUGCGGGAGGUAUUGACCCCUUCCGUGCCGAAGUUAACGCAUU